Strigops habroptila (Kakapo) is the source of this 389-nucleotide long non-coding RNA. RefSeq lists it as uncharacterized. The record is from RefSeq and is a predicted model, not a curated record. NCBI's taxonomy places the organism in Eukaryota, Metazoa, Chordata, Aves, Psittaciformes, Psittacidae. The transcript is spliced from 2 exons.
GCCGGCCAGAGGAGAAUUCAAAGAGGUCUUUAUGAACCGGUUUAGUUCACAAAUGCAGAGCCCUGAAGGCACUUAAGGGGGCCAUUUUGGUCCUGUGCGGACUAGGGAAUAUGUGAUGUGCAUGUUCAGCCAAGCUGACUCGGGCCUCUCAGUGCUCCCCGAGUAAACAAAACCACCUCCACUUGGAAGGCUGCUUUUAUGCCAAAGCCAGGAUGCUGCACAAACCAGACUUCAAUUCCAGUAGUCCAUGGGAGCCUGAUCUCUCAAUGCAUUUGGUGGGACACACUGAGAAGCUACCCCUAACGCGCCAGUUUCGGGCAGGAACUAUGUUUCCUGUUACCAGCGCUUCAAACCCAGAAAGAACAGUGUCCGGUCUUACCACUUCCUGC